RNAcentral lists this ribosomal RNA (680 nucleotides) under uncultured Bacteroidota bacterium. RNAcentral describes it as "bacterial SSU rRNA". It matches the Rfam family "Bacterial small subunit ribosomal RNA", at positions 62 to 743 of the family's 1533-position model. Lineage: Bacteria; Pseudomonadati; Bacteroidota. The record is from RNAcentral.
UCGAGGGGUAUAGGUUUUCGGACCUAGAGACCGGCGCACGGGUGCGUAACGCGUAUGCAAUCUACCUUUUACAGAGGGAUAGCCCAGAGAAAUUUGGAUUAAUACCUCAUAGUAUUAUUGAAUGGCAUCAUUUAAUAAUUAAAGUUCCAACGGUAAAAGAUGAGCAUGCGUCCCAUUAGCUUGUUGGUAAGGUAACGGCUUACCAAGGCAACGAUGGGUAGGGGUCCUGAGAGGGAGAUCCCCCACACUGGUACUGAGACACGGACCAGACUCCUACGGGAGGCAGCAGUGAGGAAUAUUGGUCAAUGGGCGCAAGCCUGAACCAGCCAUGCCGCGUGCAGGAUGAAGCAUCUAUGGUGUGUAAACUGCUUUUGUACGAGAAGAAACACUCCUUCGUGAAGGAGCUUGACGGUAUCGUAAGAAUAAGGACCGGCUAACUCCGUGCCAGCAGCCGCGGUAAUACGGAGGGUCCAAGCGUUAUCCGGAAUCAUUGGGUUUAAAGGGUCCGUAGGCGGUUUUGUAAGUCAGUGGUGAAAGCCCAUCGCUCAACGGUGGAACGGCCAUUGAUACUGCAAGACUUGAAUUAUUGGGAAGCAACUAGAAUAUGUAGUGUAGCGGUGAAAUGCUUAGAGAUUACAUGGAAUACCAAUUGCGAAGGCAGGUUGCUACCAAUACAUUGA